Molecule: non-coding RNA, 538 nt
Organism: Opisthocomus hoazin
Lineage: Eukaryota; Metazoa; Chordata; Aves; Opisthocomiformes; Opisthocomidae
Source: RefSeq, a predicted model, not a curated record
UUGGUAUUCCUUAGUAAAGUAUCUAUAUUAGAAUCUCUGGACAAGUGGGAGCGUCUCACUGUAGCUGAUGCAUUGGAACCGGUACAGUUUGAGGAUGGGGAAAAGAUUGUGGUCCAGGGAGAGCCAGGAGAUGAGUUCCUCAUUAUCUUGGAGGGCACAGCUGCAGUCUUACAGCGUCGAUCAGAAAAUGAAGAAUUUGUUGAAGUGGGCAGACUGGCACCUUCUGAUUAUUUUGGUGAAAUAGCUCUGUUGAUGAACCGUCCCCGUGCUGCCACAGUUGUUGCUCGUGGCCCGUUGAAAUGUGUAAAGCUUGAUCGACCCCGAUUUGAACGUGUCCUGGGUCCGUGCUCGGAUAUUCUCAAGCGAAACAUCCAGCAGUACAACAGUUUUGUAUCGCUGUCUGUCUGAAACCUUCCUCCCUAUCCAAAACAUGCUUCACGAAUGCAGACUGCUUUAUUACCCUUAUGCAGAGCCACACCGCCACUGGCAUUUGCAGCUUCCUGUCUGUUUAAAAAACUAAAAAAAAAAAGAAAAAAUU